Dicentrarchus labrax (European seabass) is the source of this 157-nucleotide long non-coding RNA. RefSeq lists it as uncharacterized. The record is from RefSeq and is a predicted model, not a curated record. Lineage: Eukaryota; Metazoa; Chordata; Actinopteri; Moronidae. The transcript is spliced from 2 exons.
CUAUAAAUAUUAUAUAUUCAUAUUAUAUUCUAUUUCUGACAAUAGUUCCUCCUAAAUGUUAUACACUGGACCUGUGGAGAGUCUGUAAUGGAAAAAAGUGCGUGCAUUAAAUACUCCAAGAAUUCACCUGUCUGCAUGAUUAUUUCAGAAGAAAUGA